CAUGAAUGAGGAUUCCAACAACAAGCCUCCAAUCCCUACGGUCUCUACACCCUGCCAGUGAGAACUACAGGGUCGGUGACAACUUCUACUGAGCCAUGAGCAAACAGACCAAGACACAAAGGUCCAGGACCCUCAAAGACUUCCAGGAGAGGACCAAGGAUGUGAGCAUUGUGUCUAUGGUCACUGGCCAGUGAGCUGAGAUUCAGAUCAAGCACUCCUCAAAGUCCAUUUUCCCUUUGGAAACGUUGGUCCUUCCAGGAAGGUGCAAGUGCCCCUUGUUCACAUGUCAAGUGUCCUUGCGAUGGGGCUGCUGAUGCUUUCAACAGCCUCCUACUUGUUGAAGACAGAGGUCGGUCUGCUGAUCUUCAAGUCCCUCAGUGCUCAGCCUCAGAAAGGGAGCACACGCAGUGCUUGUGGAUGUGAGAAGGUGACACAUGGGAGCUGAUACUCUUCCACCGUGGGGAUCCCUGCAUCUGGAGACCAAACUCAGAUCAUUACCUAGGAACAUCCACGAUGUAUCACAAAAUGCAGAUGAAGCUGUUCUGCUUAACUGCUGCUCUGAAGGUGUACAGCUGCAACCUGCACAUUGAUAAACCAAUUCACUUUCUUUUUUUAUUGAGUCUCUGUCCUUUGAAGUCUGUCUGCUUAACUUCUCUUAGGAAGCAGAACAAACUAAUCUCCAAGUUCAUUAUCUUUUUUUACCCCCUGAGACAGGGUUUCU
This is a long non-coding RNA of Onychomys torridus (southern grasshopper mouse), 721 nucleotides long. RefSeq lists it as uncharacterized. NCBI's taxonomy places the organism in Eukaryota, Metazoa, Chordata, Mammalia, Rodentia, Cricetidae. The transcript has 3 exons. The record is from RefSeq and is a predicted model, not a curated record.